RNAcentral lists this ribosomal RNA (562 nucleotides) under uncultured bacterium. RNAcentral's name for it is "bacterial SSU rRNA". It matches the Rfam family "Bacterial small subunit ribosomal RNA", at positions 338 to 917 of the family's 1533-position model. The record is from RNAcentral.
CCUACGGGAGGCAGCAGUGGGGAAUAUUGGACAAUGGGCGAAAGCCUGAUCCAGCAAUGCCGCGUGAGUGAUGAAGGCCUUCGGGUCGUAAAGCUCUUUUACCCGGGAAGAUAAUGACUGUACCGGGAGAAUAAGCCCCGGCUAACUCCGUGCCAGCAGCCGCGGUAAUACGGAGGGGGCUAGCGUUGUUCGGAAUUACUGGGCGUAAAGCGUACGUAGGCGGUUAUUCAAGUCAGAGGUGAAAGCCCGGGGCUCAACCCCGGAACUGCCUUUGAAACUAGAUAGCUAGAAUCUUGGAGAGGUCAGUGGAAUUCCGAGUGUAGAGGUGAAAUUCGUAGAUAUUCGGAAGGACACCAGUGGCGAAGGCGACUGACUGGACAAGUAUUGACGCUGAGGUACGAAAGCGUGGGGAGUAAACAGGAUUAGAUACCCUGGUAGUCCACGCCGUAAACGAUGAUAACUAGCUGUUCGGGCACUUGGUGCUUGAGUGGCGCAGCUAACGCAUUAAGUUAUCCGCCUGGGGAGUACGGUCGCAAGAUUAAAACUCAAAGGAAUUGACGGA